CCUACGGGAGGCAGCAGUGGGGAAUAUUGGACAAUGGGCGAAAGCCUGACCCAGCAACGCCGCGUGAAGGAAGAAGGCUUUCGGGUUGUAAACUUCUUUUAUUAGGGACGAAACAAAUGGCUGUACCUCAUGAAUAAGCCACCGCUAACUACGUGCCAGCAGCCGCGAUAAUACGGAGGUGGCACGCUGUCUCCGGAUGUACUGGGUGUAAAGGGAGUGUAGGCGGGACGGCAAGUCAGAUGUGAAAAUUAGGGGCUCAACCAAUAGACUGCAGUUGAAACUGUAGGUCUUGAGUGAUGGAGAGGCAGGCGGAAUUCCGGGUGUAGCGGUGAAAUGCGUAGAUAUCAGGAGGAACACCAGUGGCGAAGGCGGCCUGCUGGACAGUAACUGACGUUGAGGCGCGAAAGCGUGGGGAGCAAACAGGAUUAGAUACCCUGGUAGUC
Molecule: ribosomal RNA, 443 nt
Filed under: uncultured bacterium
Lineage: Bacteria
Description: partial 16S ribosomal RNA
Rfam family: Bacterial small subunit ribosomal RNA
Source: RNAcentral